UACAGAGGUCCCAAGCGUUGUUCGGAUUCAUUGGGCGUAAAGGGUGUGUAGGUGGCGCCGUAAGUCGGGUGUGAAAUUUCGGAGCUUAACUCCGAACCUGCAUUCGAUACUGCGGUGCUUGAGGACUGGAGAGGAGACUGGAAUUCAUGGUGUAGCAGUGAAAUGCGUAGAGAUCAUGAGGAAGACCAGUGGCGAAGGCGGGUCUCUGGGACAGUUCCUGACACUGAGACACGAAGGCCAGGGGAGCAAACGGG
This 254-nucleotide ribosomal RNA is filed under the name uncultured bacterium. RNAcentral's name for it is "partial 16S ribosomal RNA". It matches the Rfam family "Bacterial small subunit ribosomal RNA", at positions 524 to 776 of the family's 1533-position model. The record is from RNAcentral.